CCUACGGGAGGCUGCAGUGGGGCAUAUUGCGCAAUGGGCGAAAGCCUGACGCAGCGACGCCGCGUGAGGGAUGCAGGUCUUCGGAUCGUAAACCUCUGUCAGCAGGGAAGCACGGUCACUGUGCUAAUCAGCAGUGACUUGACGGUACCUGCAAAGGAAGCACCGGCUAACUCCGUGCCAGCAGCCGCGGUAAUCCGGCGGGUGCGAGCGUUAAUCGUCAUUACUGGGCGUAAAGCGCUCGUAGGCGGUAUGUCAAGUCAAGGGUGAAAUCCCCGCGCGCAACGUGGGAACUGCCUUUGAAACUGGCAAACUGGAGUGUGUGAGAGGAUAGUGGAAUUCCAGGUGUAGGAGUGAAAUCCGUAGAUAUCUGGAGGAACAUCAGUGGCGAAGGCGACUAUCUGGCACAUAACUGACGCUGAGGAGCGAAAGCGUGGGUAGCAAACAGGAUUAGAUACCCGAGUAGUC
This 465-nucleotide ribosomal RNA is filed under the name uncultured bacterium. RNAcentral describes it as "partial 16S ribosomal RNA". It matches the Rfam family "Bacterial small subunit ribosomal RNA", at positions 338 to 795 of the family's 1533-position model. The record is from RNAcentral.